Molecule: long non-coding RNA, 233 nt
Filed under: Elaeis guineensis (African oil palm)
Lineage: Eukaryota; Viridiplantae; Streptophyta; Magnoliopsida; Arecales; Arecaceae
Description: long non-coding RNA (EGUI_LNC048242)
Source: RNAcentral
CUCAUCUUAGCACACAAUCUAUUUAUUAUGAUUUGAUGGUUAGAGGUUCUUCCUAUUAUAGAUAAUUAUCUAUGACCCAAUAGACUAGGAGUCCUAAUUCAAAUCAACUUUGAAUUAAUCUAACCCUUAUCUAAGAAGGAAUCCUAUUUGAGAUAGGAUAGAUGCCAACUAGGUGCCCCCAUGCACCCACGUCUACACCCAAGAAGGGGGUGGCAAAACCAGCACCCCCACCC